GAGCUGGAGAUCGUGGCCUGAGUGAUAUCUUGCAUAUUUGUAUUGUUUUAACCAUCUAUUUUGUACAUAUUGAUCAUAUAGAUUAGGAAUUAAGCAUCUUUAGGAUCCAUAUUGCAUUCAUAAGUCUUUAUCAGGUAUCAGAGUGUCCUAUGGAGCGAUUGGAGGUGUUUAUAAGCAUUUUGGUACAUGAAGGGAUGGAAAAUGAAGUUGGUUCGGUUUUGGGCGAGCACGACGCGGGUUGGAGCACCCUGAGUUCACCUACCUGCGUAGCCGAGCCAAGAAGAGCCUCCACGCGGGAUGAGUGGCGCGGGAUCGUGAACCCGCGCGCACGAAGAGGAAGAAGAGAGACAACGCCUCGACGCGGGUUCCCUUACACGCGUUGUCGAAGAGAGACAGUCGAUGGAGUCACGCGGGUUGGAGCACGCGGAGUCGUCUACCCGCGCGCAUGACGAGAGAGCAACCUCGACAGUCUGACGCGGGAAGAAGGGCGCGGGACGAGCUACCCGCGUGCAUGAAGUGAAGGUCUCAACGCUCCAACGCGGGUAG
This 546-nucleotide long non-coding RNA is filed under the name Brassica napus (rape). RNAcentral's name for it is "long non-coding RNA (BNAP_LNC009390)". Lineage: Eukaryota; Viridiplantae; Streptophyta; Magnoliopsida; Brassicales; Brassicaceae. The record is from RNAcentral.